RNAcentral lists this ribosomal RNA (439 nucleotides) under uncultured bacterium. RNAcentral describes it as "partial 16S ribosomal RNA". It matches the Rfam family "Bacterial small subunit ribosomal RNA", at positions 339 to 795 of the family's 1533-position model. The record is from RNAcentral.
CUACGGGCGGCUGCAGUGGGGAAUUUUGCGCAAUGGGCGAAAGCCUGACGCAGCAAUACCGCGUGAGUGAAGAAGGCCUUUGGGUCGUAAAGCUCCUUUCUGGGGGAAGAUAGUGACGGUACCCCAGGAAUAAGCACCGGCUAACUCCGUGCCAGCAGCCGCGGUAAUACGGAGGGUGCAAGCGUUGUUCGGAUUUACUGGGCGUAAAGGGCACGUAGGCGGCACAGCAAGUUAAGGGUGAAAUCCCGGGGCUCAACUCCGGAACUGCUCUUAAAACUGCUGAGCUAGAGAUGGUCAGAGGCGGGUAGAAUUCCUGGUGUAGAGGUGAAAUUCGUAGAUAUCAGGAGGAAUACCGGUGGCGAAGGCGGCCCGCUGGGGCCAUUCUGACGCUAAGGUGCGAAAGCGUGGGGAGCGAACGGGAUUAGAUACCCCGGUAGUC